AGAACGAACGCUGGCGGCAGGCUUAACACAUGCAAGUCGAGCGCCCAGCAAUGGGAGCGGCGGACGGGUGCGUAACACGUGGGAACAUGCCUUUCGGUACGGAACAACUGCGGGAAACUGCAGCUAAUGCCGUAUACGCCCUUACGGGGAAAGAUUUAUCGCCGAAAGAUUGGCCCGCGUCUGAUUAGCUAGUUGGUGAGGUAACGGCUCACCAAGGCUUCGAUCAGUAGCUGGUUUGAGAGAACGACCAGCCACACUGGGACUGAGACACGGCCCAGACUCCUACGGGAGGCAGCAGUGGGGAAUCUUGGACAAUGGGCGAAAGCCUGAUCCAGCCAUGCCGCGUGAGUGAUGAAGGCCUUCGGGUUGUAAAACUCUUUUACCUGGGAAGAUAAUGACUGUACCAGGAGAAUAAGCCCCGGCUAACUUCGCGCCAGCAGCCGC
This 444-nucleotide ribosomal RNA is filed under the name uncultured bacterium. Its description in RNAcentral is "SSU rRNA". It matches the Rfam family "Bacterial small subunit ribosomal RNA", at positions 26 to 518 of the family's 1533-position model. The record is from RNAcentral.